GGACGUCAUGAUGCUUUCCAACCUACAAGCAGCAGGAUUGGCAGUGACCAGGAUAUAUUUUCCAACCUCCUGCUUCCCCCCUCCACGCCUGGUCGCACAGGGCUGACUUCAGGAGCUGUACAGGACGCUCAGAAACAGAGCAGAAGGGGAUCAAGGUGGAGAAGGAUCUCCACCGCAGCAGCACGGACAUAAAAGAUGAGCCGCCACACUGCUGUGCUGAAUUCCUGUGGUGACGAGACACCAGCUGAAUAAACCUCUACAUCCUCCUUU
Molecule: long non-coding RNA, 270 nt
Organism: Centropristis striata (black sea bass)
Lineage: Eukaryota; Metazoa; Chordata; Actinopteri; Perciformes; Serranidae
Exons: 3
Source: RefSeq, a predicted model, not a curated record